RNAcentral lists this ribosomal RNA (468 nucleotides) under uncultured bacterium. Its description in RNAcentral is "partial 16S ribosomal RNA". It matches the Rfam family "Bacterial small subunit ribosomal RNA", at positions 28 to 507 of the family's 1533-position model. The record is from RNAcentral.
GACGAACGCUGGCGGCGUGCUUAACACAUGCAAGUCGAACGGAAAGGCCCUGCUUUUGUGGGGUGCUCGAGUGGCGAACGGGUGAGUAACACGUGAGUAACCUGCCCUUGACUUUGGGAUAACUUCAGGAAACUGGGGCUAAUACCGGAUAGGAGCUCCUGCUGCAUGGGGGGGGUUGGAAAGUUUCGGCGGGUGGGGCUGGACUCGCGGCUUAUCAGCUUGUUGGUGGGGUAGUGGCUUACCAAGGCUUUGACGGGUAGCCGGCCUGAGAGGGUGACCGGCCACAUUGGGACUGAGAUACGGCCCAGACUCCUACGGGAGGCAGCAGUGGGGAAUAUUGCACAAUGGGCGGAAGCCUGAUGCAGCAACGCCGCGUGCGGGAUGACGGCCUUCGGGUUGUAAACCGCUUUCGCCUGUGACGAAGCGUGAGUGACGGUAAUGGGUAAAGAAGCACCGGCUAACUACGUG